Molecule: ribosomal RNA, 465 nt
Filed under: uncultured bacterium
Lineage: Bacteria
Description: partial 16S ribosomal RNA
Rfam family: Bacterial small subunit ribosomal RNA
Source: RNAcentral
GACGAACGCUGGCGGCGUGCUUAACACAUGCAAGUCGAACGGAAAGGCCCUGCUUGCAGGGUACUCGAGUGGCGAACGGGCGAGUAACACGGGGGUGAACUGCCCUCCACUUCGGGGUAAGCCUGGGCAAAGGGGACUAAUAGCGGAUAGGGGCCAUUUUCAGUGGGAUGGUUGGAAAGUUUUUUCGGGGUAGGAUGAGCUCGCGGCCUAUCAGCUUGUUGGUGGGGUAAUGGCCUACCAAGGCGGCGACGGGUAGCCGGCCAGAGAGGGUGGACGGCCACAUUGGGACUGAGAUACGGCCCAGACUCCGACGGGAGGCAGAAGUGGGGAAUAUUGCACAAGGGGCGCAAGCCUGAUGCAGCGACGCCGCGUGGGGGAUGACGGCCUUCGGGUUGUAAACUCCUUUCGCUAGGGACGAAGCUUUUUGUGACGGUACCUAGAGAAGAAGCACCGGCUAACUACGUG